UACGUAGGGGGCGAGCGUUGUCCGGAUUUAUUGGGCGUAAAGAGCGUGUAGGCGGCCAGACAGGUCAGCUGUGAAAACUCGAGGCUCAACCUCGAGACGUCGGUUGAAACCGUCUGGCUAGAGUCCGGAAGAGGAGAGUGGAAUUCCUGGUGUAGCGGUGGAAUGCGCAGAUAUCAGGAGGAACACCGGUGGCGAAGGCGGGUCUCUGGGCAGUAACUGACGCUGAGGAGCGAAAGCGUGGGGAGCGAACAGG
RNAcentral lists this ribosomal RNA (253 nucleotides) under uncultured bacterium. RNAcentral describes it as "partial 16S ribosomal RNA". It matches the Rfam family "Bacterial small subunit ribosomal RNA", at positions 524 to 776 of the family's 1533-position model. The record is from RNAcentral.